This 30-nucleotide non-coding RNA is filed under the name Mus musculus (house mouse). The record is from RNAcentral. Lineage: Eukaryota; Metazoa; Chordata; Mammalia; Rodentia; Muridae.
UGUGACAGAGAUCAGAGUAAUCUCAACGUC